Molecule: ribosomal RNA, 508 nt
Filed under: uncultured bacterium
Lineage: Bacteria
Description: bacterial SSU rRNA
Rfam family: Bacterial small subunit ribosomal RNA
Source: RNAcentral
CGAACGCUGGCGGCGUGCUUAACACAUGCAAGUCGAACGCGAAAGGGACUUCGGUCCUGAGUAAAGUGGCGCACGGGUGAGUAACGCGUAGAUAACCUGUCUUCAUGUCUGGAAUAAUACGCCGAAAGGGGUACUAAUACCGGAUAUCUUGCUUUUCAUAAGUUAUGCAAGCAAAGGUGGCCUCUGCAUAUGCUACUGCAUGAAGAGGGGUCUGCGUACCAUUAGCUAGUAGGUGGGGUAAUGGCCUACCUAGGCGACGAUGGUUAGCGGGUCUGAGAGGAUGAUCCGCCACACUGGCACUGGAACACGGGCCAGACUCCUACGGGAGGCAGCAGUGAGGAAUAUUGCGCAAUGGGGGAAACCCUGACGCAGCGACGCCGCGUGAGUGAGGAAAGGCCUUCGGGUCGUAAAGCUCUGUCAAGAGGAAAGAAGUGUACAAUGGCUAAUACCUGUUGUAUUUGACGGUACCUCUAAAGGAAGCACCGGCUAACUCCGUGCCAGCAGCAGC